GAAAUGCGAUAAGUAAUGUGAAUUGCAGAACUCAGUGAAUCAUCGAAUCUUUGAACGCACAUUGCGCCCGCCAGUAUUCUGGCGGGCAUGCCUGUUCGAGCGUCAUUUCAACCAUCAAGCCCCGGGCUUGUGUUGGGGACCUGCGGCUGCCGCAGGCCCUGAAAACCAGUGGCGGGCUCGCUGUCACACCGAGCGUAGUAGAUUCUCAUCUCGCUCAGGGCGUGCUGCGGGUUCCGGCCGUAAAACAGCCUUAUUUUACCCAAGGUUGACCUCGGAUCAGGUAGGAAGACCCGCUGAACUUAAGC
Molecule: unclassified non-coding RNA, 305 nt
Filed under: plant metagenome
Description: partial contains 5.8S ribosomal RNA, internal transcribed spacer 2, and large subunit ribosomal RNA
Rfam family: 5.8S ribosomal RNA (bases 1-105)
Source: RNAcentral